GCCAACGGCCAUAUCACGAUGAAACACACCGGUUCUCGUCCGAUCACCGAAGUUAAGCAUCGUCGAGCGUGGUUAGUACUUAGAUGGGUGACCGCUUGGGAACACCACGUGCCGUUGGCA
This is a ribosomal RNA of Bacillus rossius redtenbacheri, 120 nucleotides long. The record is from RefSeq and is a predicted model, not a curated record. Lineage: Eukaryota; Metazoa; Arthropoda; Insecta; Phasmatodea; Bacillidae.